UACUUUCUCUCAACCACAGAUCUGCAGUCCACCCGAUCCCGACCUUGACUACGGUCAAUAUGUUCGGUUGAUUGGUGUGCGAUGAUCGCUCGACUUCAAAAUGGAACCCUUCAACCAAUCGUGAAGCCCGUCCGAGUCGACAGAUCUCAGAGUAACAAUCCGAGGAGUGUGGCACCGCCUUGUAGGCUUCGCAAGAGGACUCGGCUGAUUCCACCUCCUUCGGAAGGCGCUAUAUUCCAAUUCGUUCCCGAUUUGUCCGUUGGAUGAGGAGGGGUAGGACAAACCAUAGCUGUCUACAUUA
RNAcentral lists this small RNA (301 nucleotides) under Acidomyces richmondensis BFW. Its description in RNAcentral is "A. fumigatus sRNA Afu_309". It matches the Rfam family "A. fumigatus sRNA Afu_309". The record is from Rfam by way of RNAcentral. Lineage: Eukaryota; Fungi; Ascomycota; Dothideomycetes; Mycosphaerellales; Teratosphaeriaceae.